CGGUGCCCCGGAGGCCAUUUUUCAUUUUUUUUUUUUUUAAAUUGAAUAGGACAGAGAGAAAUUGAGAGGACGGGGAGGUGGAGCGUGAGGGAGAAUGACACCUGCAGACCUGCUUCAUCACUUGUGAUGAAGUAUCUCCUCUGUGGUUGGGGAGCCAGACCCUCCAACCGGAAUCCUUGCGUGGGUCCUUGCGCUUCGUACGAUGGUGUGCUUAACCCAGUGCGCCACUGCCCAGCCCCUGGAUCUCCGUGUUCUUAGCUAUAAAAUGAAAGGAUGUUUUGAGAUCUCUACAUGCUCUAAGAUACUAAGACCCAACAUAACCUGUACAACUGACAGUCAUCAGAACAUGGGUCCACACAGAACAGAAGAGUCAUGGAGAGAGAAAAGCAUGAUUCUGAAACAGCUGAACCUGAUCUUGUGACCUGGGAGGGUUUGGUGACUGUCUAAAAAGAUGGACACAUGAUAAAACUAAGUUGGGUUAAAGAAGGUAAAUACAAAUAGUGAACUAUAAAAAAGUGGAAAUAAUUAAAUAUGGCUUAAAAACCACGAUCCACAGGAAAAAAGUUAGCGUAUUUAAGUCUACACAAAGAAUUAUUACGUGACAAAAUCACACUAGCAGAAAAGAUUCUUCUAGUUCCCAUAUAUAGAGAGCUAGUUUCCUUAAUAUCUAGAGUCCCUACAGAUCAAUAAGAAAAAGAUCAUCUUGGCCUGGGAGAUGGUUUAGUGGAAAUAGUUUGGAUUCUCAAGCAUGAGGUCCUGAGUCCUGAGUUUGAUCCCAGGCAGCAUAUUUGCCAGUCUUACUCUGUUUUUCUCUUCCUUUCUUUCUCUCUUUCUCAUUAAUAAACAAAUUUUCAGGAAAAAGCUGUCAAUCCGGUUUACUUGAUGGACUAAGAAAAUAGACAUUGUGCAGAAAAGGAAAUAGGAUUGUUCUUAGCCAUAUAAAAAUAUUGCCCACAAGAAGUAAGAACAGUGCAUUUUAACUCUACAGAAGUAGAAACACUUUCCAAGUGUAAGAUGGCACAGCCUGUAGAGAGAGCACUUAGACAAUACUGAUUAAAAGCGCAAUACUUAUAAAAUGAGGCGUUUUUCCCCCAAGAUGGUUCAUUAAAUUAUUGCUUGUAAAAGGGAGAAAAAAAAAAAAAAGGAAACCACUUUAAUAUCCAUCAGUAUAGAACUGGUAAAUACAUUAUCAUAUACCUACCUAUACCAUGUAAUUCUGAAUUGUUAAAAAAGGGGGGGCAUGGAAUGGUCUAGAAGAUAUUAGUGAGAAAUUGGGAACAAUAGUGCCUAACUUUUCUGCACCCCUGUGAGAACUCCUAGGAGACCAGUGGUCUCCACAGCAGAGGCUCACUUUGCUCUACACUGAAUUUUCUGCCAGGUGCAUCUUCUAUUUAAAAAAAAAACACUUUCAAAACAUGAGGUUAGGUUGCAAAGGAGAGAGUAGCAGGUAGGGCAGCAAGAAGGAUCUCACCUUUGUUCUGCACUUUCACACAGGCUUUGGGCUGCCCCUUCCUCAGGCUCAUGUAAGCAUCAGUGCCAUUUUUAUAGAUCAAGAAAUUAAAGUGCAGAAGUCUGAGAUGACUUGCCCAAGCUUACAGAGAGAGCUUUGGAACUGGACAGUGAAGUCAUUUUUCAGUCCAAAACCGUUGGGAGUCUUUGCAGAUUAGCAUUUUGUUUUCCUUCCUUUUUUUAACCGACAACUUUCUGGUUGAGGACUUCAUCUGUACAGCCUGUCCCACUCUCCCAUGGGAGCCAGUGUCCCAUCCCACCUCUACCGAGCUCACUGGUCCCGAGGGGACAAAGCUUAGGUCAUAGGUGGCAGAACUAGCCCUAGGGCCAAUCAGUCACAUCAGAUACACCGAGGAGUGCCAGGGAUGGGCUGUACAGGCCUGCCUUUGAAGUUCAGCUUUUAUCAGAGUGUCUUAACCUUGACAUUAUUUCAAGGGAGCUUUUAGUACUGUCUGUGAACUGGCCUCAGGUAGGUGUUGGCUGCUAUCAGGGGCCCAGGGAGCUAUGCCUGAUUCUCACUGUGUUUCCUGGGGAGGGCAAAAGGCACUUGUUACUUGGAAGAUUCUAGAAUAAUAACUUUCUGCUUCUGUUCGUCUGUCCAGAGGUACAGUUGGAUGGCAUCUCCUUAAUUAAAGGGAGGAAAUGGUGCUUUUUGUUUAUUUAUUUAGUCUCAUGGAAACACCUGUGCUGUUUUCAAACUGCUUCCUUGUUGAUAGAGAGACACUGCUGGGGAACAAAGCUAAAGGUGUUGCUGUCUGUGAGAUGAGACUGUAAUUUAUAGGAUGCAACUUCCUCUGGGGGAAGAAUGUGAUGUCUUUUAGAGACACGGGAUUACCCAGCACUACCUGGCCAGUGUGUCAAGGCACAUUUAUUUUCUGAGUUGGACUCACCAUUUCCUAAGAAAGAGGGCCCUUUGGGGCUAAGCAGUGCCAGGGAGGUUGGAAGUCUUUCGGACCCAUGGUAUGACCAACACCUAUCUUUACAGGCUUUAGAGGAUGAGUCCAAAGUCCGCCCAGUCCUUUUUGCUUGUCUGGCUGGCAGAAGUGCUGUGCCCAUGUGAAGUGUAUACGCUGCUGAGUGACCAGGAGGCGCCUGAUAAACACAUUCCAGGCGGAUGGAGCUUGAUAUCUAAGAUAUUUAGACUUAAAAGCAUUUGAUCUCAAAGAGGCCGGCUCCUGGAGGAAUCUAGACAUCUCCUGUUGCUCCUCAGAUAGUCCUGCUGCCUGAAUAAUUCAGUCCACACCUGUGGGGUUUUCCUUCCUUGGACUCCAAGCCAUCUCUUUACUCAAAGGCUGGCUUCUGUAAACGCGCUACAUUCUGAGAACUCUACCGCUCUCUCCAGUGUCCCUCCAUUAUCUUGUGUUCUAGUGUAUUAUCUGGAAAAACUUCUGUAUACUGUCAACUUCAGUUAUUAAGUCUGUUAGGAUUUUUGUUUUUGUUUUCCCUCCAAAUUCUUCCUUGGGGGCUUUUAUAUCUUGACUAUAAAAAUUCAUUCCUUCUCAGCAACUCAGGUCCUUCCCCGCCACCCUUUGAAGUUGGUGCUGGGGGAUUUUGGAAGAUUUUAUUUCCUCUUCACUGGAAACCACCUCUGAGACCUUGAAAUUAGUUUUAGGUGGUUUUAGAUGGUUCAGUCCAGCGUUUUGUUUGUUUUUCCCCAAAUCCAGUUCAGAUUUGAAUGUCCAAGGGCUGAAUAGUCUCCUGGAUCUUGGGUCUCUUCGCUUUUUGGAAAAUAGCUUUUAUUGAUUAUUUUUUUUCCCUCAUAGCAAAGAGGUUUAUGAUUGUUGCAGAAAAUUUAAGAGCUACAAAAAAUAAGAAAAUAAAAACCAGGUGAAAUAUUAA
Long non-coding RNA from Erinaceus europaeus (western European hedgehog), 3348 nucleotides. RefSeq lists it as uncharacterized. Lineage: Eukaryota; Metazoa; Chordata; Mammalia; Eulipotyphla; Erinaceidae. The record is from RefSeq and is a predicted model, not a curated record. The transcript is spliced from 2 exons.